Molecule: ribosomal RNA, 440 nt
Filed under: uncultured bacterium
Lineage: Bacteria
Description: partial 16S ribosomal RNA
Rfam family: Bacterial small subunit ribosomal RNA
Source: RNAcentral
CCUACGGGAGGCAGCAGUAGGGAAUGUUGCGCAAUGGGGGAAACCCUGACGCAGCAACACCGCGUGAAUGGUAAGGGCUUCGGGGUGUAAAGUUCUGUUAAUAGGGACGAAGGUUGACUGUACCUAUAAAGGAAGCACUGGCUAACUCCGUGCCAGCAGCCGCGGUAAUACGGGGGGUGCAAGCGUUGUCCGGAAUCAGUGGGCGUAAAGCGUUCGUAGGCGGUAUGUCAAGUCUGAUGUUAAAGCCCGGGGCUCAACUCCGGUUCGGCAUUGGAUACUGGCAAACUAGAAUGUGGUAGAGGUAAGGGGAAUUCCUGGUGUAGCGGUGAAAUGCGUAGAUAUCAGGAGGAACAUCGGUGGCGAAGGCGCUUUACUGGACCAUUAUUGACGCUGAGGAACGAAAGCCCGGGGAGCAAAUAGGAUUAGAUACCCUAGUAGUC